AGUAACGCGUGGGUAACCUGCCUCAUACAGGGGGAUAACAGUUAGAAAUGACUGCUAUACCGCAUAAGCGCACAGUGCUGCAUGGCACAGUGUGAAAAACUCCGGUGGUAUGAGAUGGACCCGCGUCUGAUUAGCUAGUUGGUGGGGUAACGGCCUACCAAGGCGACGAUCAGUAGCCGGCCUGAGAGGGUGAACGGCCACAUUGGGACUGAGACACGGCCCAA
RNAcentral lists this ribosomal RNA (224 nucleotides) under uncultured bacterium. Its description in RNAcentral is "partial 16S ribosomal RNA". It matches the Rfam family "Bacterial small subunit ribosomal RNA", at positions 109 to 334 of the family's 1533-position model. The record is from RNAcentral.